Molecule: ribosomal RNA, 430 nt
Filed under: uncultured bacterium
Lineage: Bacteria
Description: bacterial SSU rRNA
Rfam family: Bacterial small subunit ribosomal RNA
Source: RNAcentral
GUGGGGAAUCUUGCGCAAUGGGCGAAAGCCUGACGCAGCAACGCCGCGUGCGGGAUGAAGGCCUUCGGGUUGUAAACCGCUGUCAAGAGGGACGAAGCGAAAGUGACGGUACCUCUAGAGGAAGCCCCGGCUAACUACGUGCCAGCAGCCGCGGUAAUACGUAGGGGGCAAGCGUUGUCCGGAUUUAUUGGGCGUAAAGCGCGCGUAGGCGGCUUGUCAAGUCGGGUGUGAAAACCGGGGGCUUAACCCGCGGACUGCACUCGAAACUGGCAGGCUGGAGUCCGGUAGAGGAAAGUGGAAUUCCUAGUGUAGCGGUGAAAUGCGCAGAUAUUAGGAAGAACACCAGUGGCGAAGGCGGCUUUCUGGGCCGCGACUGACGCUGAGGCGCGAAAGCUAGGGGAGCGAACAGGAUUAGAUACCCUGGUAGUCC